This 283-nucleotide non-coding RNA is filed under the name Pongo abelii (Sumatran orangutan). The record is from RNAcentral. Lineage: Eukaryota; Metazoa; Chordata; Mammalia; Primates; Hominidae.
GUGAAGCUGGACUGAAUAUUUCUGUCCAUAAGACUAUUAGAAUCCCCCAAAGUGGGAUACCAGUGAGGACUUCACCAGCAGCUGCUGUCUCUCCAAUGCAGCUCCACAGGGCCUGUGGACAGGGCUGGCUAUGAGCUCCCACCCCGAAGAGCAGUACUGGGAUGCCCUGCUGAGCACCUGCAUAGCCAUCUACAACCAUCAGAGCCAGCGCACCUGUGCAGCCUCCCACAGUGAUCUCAGGGCCUAUCCCUCUCCAUGGGGCCUCUCCACCUGGACGACUUGA